CGCGGCCUAUCAGCUUGUUGGUGGGGUAAUGGCCUACCAAGGCGUCGAUGGGUAGCCGGCCUGAGAGGGUGUACGGCCACAUUGGGACUGAGAUACGGCCCAGACUCCUACGGGAGGCAGCAGUGGGGAAUAUUGCACAAUGGGCGCAAGCCUGAUGCAGCGACGCCGCGUGGGGGAUGACGGCCUUCGGGUUGUAAACUCCUUUCGCCAAGGACGAAGCUUUAAGUGACGGUACUUGGAGAAGAAGCACCGGCUAACUACGUGCCAGCAGCCGCGGUAAUACGUAGGGUGCGAGCGUUGUCCGGAAUUACUGGGCGUAAAGAGCUCGUAGGUGGUUUGUCGCGUCGUUUGUGUAAGUCCGUAGCUUAACUGCGGGACUGCAGGCGAUACGGGCAUAACUUGAGUGCUGUAGGGGAGACUGGAAUUCCUGGUGUAGCGGUGAAAUGCGCAGAUAUCAGGAGGAACACCGAUGGCGAAGGCAGGUCUCUGGGCAGUAACUGACGCUGAGGAGCGAAAGCAUGGGGAGCGAACAGGAUUAGAUACCCUGGCAGUCCAUGCCGUAAACGGUGGGCGCUAGGUGUGAGUCCCUUCCACGGGGUUCGUGCCGUAGCUAACGCAUUAAGCGCCCCGCCUGGGGAGUACGG
Molecule: ribosomal RNA, 644 nt
Filed under: uncultured Actinomycetes bacterium
Lineage: Bacteria; Bacillati; Actinomycetota; Actinomycetes
Description: bacterial SSU rRNA
Rfam family: Bacterial small subunit ribosomal RNA
Source: RNAcentral